This 489-nucleotide ribosomal RNA is filed under the name uncultured bacterium. RNAcentral's name for it is "bacterial SSU rRNA". It matches the Rfam family "Bacterial small subunit ribosomal RNA", at positions 338 to 819 of the family's 1533-position model. The record is from RNAcentral.
CCUACGGGAGGCAGCAGUGGGGAAUUUUGGACAAUGGGCGCAAGCCUGAUCCAGCCAUGCCGCGUGCAGGAUGAAGGCCUUCGGGUUGUAAACUGCUUUUGUACGGAACGAAAAGACUCCUUCUAAUAAAGGGGGUCCAUGACGGUACCGUAAGAAUAAGCACCGGCUAACUACGUGCCAGCAGCCGCGGUAAUACGUAGGGUGCGAGCGUUAAUCGGAAUUACUGGGCGUAAAGCGUGCGCAGGCGGUUAUAUAAGACAGAUGUGAAAUCCCCGGGCUCAACCUGGGAAUUGCAUUUGUGACUGUAUAGCUAGAGUACGGUAGAGGGGGAUGGAAUUCCGCGUGUAGCAGUGAAAUGCGUAGAUAUGCGGAGGAACACCGAUGGCGAAGGCAAUCCCCUGGGCCUGUACUGACGCUCAUGCACGAAAGCGUGGGGAGCAAACAGGAUUAGAUACCCUGGUAGUCCACGCCCUAAACGAUGUCAACUGG